AGAGCGGGGUUGGAGCGCGGGGCAGGCACUGAGAGGGCCGGCGCGGGGCGCGGACCGGCUGCACGAUGUUCAGCUGGAUGGGGCGGCAGGCGGGCGGGCGCGAGCGCGCGGGAGGCGCCGACGCGGUGCAGACGGUGACUGGCGGCCUGCGCUCGCUCUACCUGCGCAAGGUGCUGCCGCUGGAGGAGGCGUACCGCUUCCACGAGUUCCACUCGCCGGCGCUGGAGGACGCCGACUUCGAGAACAAGCCCAUGAUCCUGCUGGUGGGCCAGUACAGCACGGGCAAGACCACCUUCAUCAGGUAGCCCGCCCCGCCCGCUCGUCGCCCCUGCCGGCACCCCUGCUCCCACCACCCAGGUGGAGGCGGUCCUCCCCACGUGUGCGUGUGCUGUCACCAGCCUCCCACCGCCUCGGACGUCCUGCAGCGCCCACUCCCCCCGUGCGGAAUCCCCUCGCGGCCGUUUCCCCCUCCAGCAUCGGCGUCAGCUCAGGUUCCCCGUCCAAGCGCGGUGCCCGUGAGCCCUCAGCCUCGCCCCUGGGUGCGGCCGUCCAAGAAGGGGCUGCCUCUCCCCCUUGCAGGCAGGAAGGUCCCCGAAACCCCUUCUCCCUGUACUCUGAGCCCUCCUUCCUUG
Leptonychotes weddellii (Weddell seal) is the source of this 632-nucleotide non-coding RNA. NCBI's taxonomy places the organism in Eukaryota, Metazoa, Chordata, Mammalia, Carnivora, Phocidae. The record is from RefSeq and is a predicted model, not a curated record.